This is a small nucleolar RNA of Callithrix jacchus (white-tufted-ear marmoset), 104 nucleotides long. Lineage: Eukaryota; Metazoa; Chordata; Mammalia; Primates; Cebidae. The record is from Ensembl.
AUCCUUUUGUAGUACAUGUGCAUGAUGAUUUAAUUUUGUCCCACAUGUGUAAGAUAUACUUCCCUCAAAUCGUGUUAAGAGGUCAGAACAUUACCUGUCUGAUA